Molecule: long non-coding RNA, 1655 nt
Organism: Homo sapiens (human)
Lineage: Eukaryota; Metazoa; Chordata; Mammalia; Primates; Hominidae
Product: long intergenic non-protein coding RNA 2008
Source: Ensembl
GUACUCGAGUAGGGAGUCUGGCCUAGUGAAAGUCUCUGUUUCCUCCUUUUCUUACUUUUCACUCAAUAAAACCCUGCUUUACACACCCUUCAAACCAUCUGUGAGCCUGAAUUUUUACGGCCAUGGGACAGACAAGGAUCCUGUCUUUAUCUAAACUAAGGAAAAGUCCUGCAACAUUUGUGGUGCACAACGUGGGGCUCGAGAAGUGGAAAACGCCUAUUUUGGAGUGAAACCAGGGCCGCCUUAUGAGCUAAACAGAGUGUGUUACAGCUUCAAUAGACUAAACAAGCUCUAAAUUUAUCUUCCUAUGGUCACGGGAUCUCAUAUAUUCUGGCUGUCAUUGUCAUAAUAAGCCACUCUUGGUCAUAUGGAAAAGCAUUCAGCUGCUCCCUGCCUUUGCUCACAGCGUGUGGUACUCUCUUAGAAGCUAUUCCUGGUUCAUUGGUAAUUUGCUAAAAGAAUGCCAGUGGGAACAGAACAGAAGCAUUUUCAAGAUUAAAUUGGCAAUGGUUGUGACUGAUUGGAUGAAGGAAGUAAGGGGGAGAGAUUCAUCAGAGAAAGAAGGCUUCUUUAAGCAGCAGAAUUGAGGAAUGAGUCAGAAAAUAAAAGAGCAAACAGGUUUUUGUUGUUUUAUUUAAUUUUGGUCAACCUACUUGUAUUGGCUUUCAUAGCAUAAAGAAAAUAUUUUACUUUGAACAAGCAUAAAACAAAAACACAUCUUUCAUACAAUACAAUGCAAUCGAUGGCUUUUCCCCAAUGAUUUAUGGAAAUAGCUCUAAAGGAGAGAGAUGAUUUUGUUGCCAGGUCUCCUCAGAUAUCAUCAGUAUUUUUAAUCUCUCAUGACAUUGCUCUACACCCUCUUGCUGCUAUAUUUCUAAAUGCCCUGAGGAUGUUAUUUCUGGCUGUUUCUCUACAAUUAUAGGACCAUAUGCUACUCUCCUUGAUCAUAGAAAUUUAUGACAUGCUCUCUGUUUUACUUCUACCUCAGUUGACAUAAUAUUUUCCAGCAAGUUCAUGUGUUGCUUUUAAAAUAACUUAAUUCAACUCUUGUAGACAAAAAGAAACAUUUUCUUUCUGUGGUCAUUCAGGAUGAGAUGGUAACACCAGAGGUCUCAGUAACAACGCUUCAGGGAAAUAUUUUUAGGAUCUGACACAUUCAGCAGAGAAAAGGAAGAUGAAAAACUGGCCUUUUCCUGAAAAUGUGAUAAAAGCAACAUCACACUGGAAGAAAACUAACAGAGAAUGGAGGUUGAUCCACCUAAGAGACCUGUAGGUCAACACAUAUUCAAGUGCAGAUCAGAGAAUGAGCCUCCCCAGAAGAGGAAGCAGGAGAUCUGAAAGAGAAAUCUUUUCACAGAAAGGAAGUGCUCUGUUUAACAGAGCUUGACUUUAGCAUCAGUCAAUUCAGGCAGCUCUACACAGAAGAGAGCAUCUUGCCCCAGUGUCCACAGAGAGCAGGCACUUCCUGGACCCUUGAGCAAACAUGCCAGGAGGUCACUUAAAACAGCGACUCUUCCUUGGUUGUACAAAAUGAAUGGUACCAAGAAAAAAUUUUCUUUCCUUGGAGGAAAAUUAGAUUCAUUACAAGCAUUUUUUUUUUUAAAGCAACAAAUGGAACCCAGUUGUAAAAAAAAAAAAAAUAAAGAAAAGAAAAG